CCUACGGGAGGCAGCAGUGAGGAAUAUUGGUCAAUGGCCGAGAGGCUGAACCAGCCAAGUCGCGUGAGGGAAGAAUGUCCUAUGGAUUGUAAACCUCUUUUGUCAGGGAACAAAGUCACCCACGUGUGGGUGUUGGAGAGUACCUGAAGAAAAAGCAUCGGCUAACUCCGUGCCAGCAGCCGCGGUAAUACGGAGGAUGCGAGCGUUAUCCGGAUUUAUUGGGUUUAAAGGGUGCGGAGGCGGUUUGUUAAGUCAGGGGUCAAAGGGCGGGGCAGAAACGUGGACCGCCGUUUAAAACUGGCAGUCUCGAGUUGGGGAGAAGUAUGCGGAAUGCGUGGUGUAGCGGUGAAAUGCAUAGAUAUCGCGCAGAACUCCGAUUGCGAAGGCAGCAUGCCGGCUCCACACUGACGCUGAGGCACGAAAGCGUGGGUAUCGAACAGGAUUAGAUACCCGGGUAGUC
This 460-nucleotide ribosomal RNA is filed under the name uncultured bacterium. RNAcentral's name for it is "partial 16S ribosomal RNA". It matches the Rfam family "Bacterial small subunit ribosomal RNA", at positions 338 to 795 of the family's 1533-position model. The record is from RNAcentral.